Molecule: long non-coding RNA, 542 nt
Organism: Pungitius pungitius (ninespine stickleback)
Lineage: Eukaryota; Metazoa; Chordata; Actinopteri; Perciformes; Gasterosteidae
Exons: 4
Source: RefSeq, a predicted model, not a curated record
AUACGAGAAAAGAAGGCUUUCAUGGUGUUGGGUUUGAUUUGUGGGCUUUGAAACAGUUUUGAUAUCGUUACAUUACAUUUGAAGGUAUUUCCCCGAUGGGGCCCCUGGUGCUGUAAAUGACGUCACUAUUUAGCUCAGGUUGACGAGCGGCCCUGAUGACGCGUCCAAGAUGGCCGACAGGCCCCUGAGCUGUAACUUCCGCUGCCCGACUGUUCGUGACGAUGGAGACCCGAUGGAAGAAAGGAGACUGACUGAAAAUGUUGGAGGAGCAGCUGGAGAAGAACAAGGCUGAAGACAAGCAGAAGACAGAGGACGAAAUGAACAGAACUGCUGAAUGAGCAGAGACACUUGAAGGUCUUGGAGAAGACGAGGAGGACGGAGGAACAUUUGGGCGCAGUUUCCAGACCUGAGGACGGCAGGUUUCUUCUUCUGCUCUGCGGUUACUCUGAGAAGUAACUUUGACAGUUUGGGGGUGGUUCAACUUUUGUCAAAUGUUUGCUGUGCAGCUGAAUUUUAAUAAAGAAUAAUUUGGUAUAACCCCC